Molecule: non-coding RNA, 1152 nt
Organism: Macaca mulatta (Rhesus monkey)
Lineage: Eukaryota; Metazoa; Chordata; Mammalia; Primates; Cercopithecidae
Source: RefSeq, a predicted model, not a curated record
UGUCUCCAAGCCGUGCAGGUGCAUUGAGAGGAUGUAGAAAUUCUGGAUUCAUAUCGGGCCCGUCUGCAUUUCUGCCCUCCUCCACCCAGCAUUGAGGGGAGGGCAGGGUAGAACUAAAGCAAAUGUUCUUUUCAAUCCCUGAAUAGGGGCUUGCGUACCUCAGAGGAAGACAGAACACGCACAUUUCUCUGCGUUUGUCUUUGUCUCAUCCUUAGUCUCUAGACCAUUAGCCCCUGUUGCCAUGGGAACUGAAGCUGAGUGUCUGAUGCAUUCAUUGGGCUGUGGGAGAAAAGCAGAGUUGGUCCUUGAAAUAAAGGCCCCUGGGAGAGGGGAUUCUAGCAAGGCAGUCACAUCGAAAGAAUUCACAAUUCCCACAGAGCAGGGUGGGACUCCUCUCAUGGUGUCCUGCCCUCCACACCCCAAAGUGUGAGUUCUCAUGAAGUCCAACCGGAUGCCCAUUCCCUGCAACCGGAGCACUCAACAGACCAAAGAGCACGAGGGGUAGUUUCAACUCGCCCGGGGACCCUUGUUCUUGCUCCCAGGUUCCCCAGGGCACCUUUGGUCAUGUACUUCACUCACCUCUUCUCUUUUUCACCUUCACUUCUCCCUUCUCUUCCCCCUCCCUCUUUCCUGGCUGCAUCCUUCUUUCUUAAGGCUUUACCCCAUAAAGACAAAGAAACUGGCUGAGGAGACAAAAGAAAGAAAGUAGCAGAAGCUGGUAAGGAAACAGAGACAGGGUCUCACUUGUGUUGCCAAGAGAGCUUGAGCAUCAACUGGCAGUGAGGACAGCCGGAAAGCAACCGACUUACCCCUCUCACCAGACCUUCCAACUGUCUGCCACACUGGCAUUGCCGUGUAUCCCUGCAUCUUGUUGAUCCCAUUGUGGCAUUGUGGUCAGAGAAUAUACAACUCGCUGAAGAAUCCAUUGUUUAUGGACAUUCCUGGGAUUGUAUUCAUUUAAAUAUCUUUAUGUACAUUGUAGUGAAAUAUAAUACAAAAAUGGAGUUGCAUGAAAAAUGAAGGUACCGCUCAGUAAAUGGUUCCACAGGGACAUCUGAUCCCCUACGAUCUGGGUUAAGAAAUGGUGUACUGUAUUGCUGGCAGCUCAAAAGCACUCUCAUGCCAGUCACUCUUGUCUUCCACCUCGGCCAA